GACGAACGCUGGCGGCGUGCUUAACACAUGCAAGUCGAACGGAAAGGCCCUGCUUUUGUGGGGUGCUCGAGUGGCGAACGGGUGAGUAACACGUGAGUAACCUGCCCUUGACUUUGGGAUAACUUCAGGAAACUGGGGCUAAUACCGGAUAGGAGCUCCUGCUGCAUGGUGGGGGUUGGAAAGUUUCGGCGGUUGGGGAUGGACUCGCGGCUUAUCAGCUUGUUGGUGGGGUAGUGGCUUACCAAGGCUUUGACGGGUAGCCGGCCUGAGAGGGUGACCGGCGAGAGGGGAGAGGAGAAGCGGCCCAGACUCAGAGGGGGGGCAGGGGGGGGGAGUAGGGGAAGGGGGGCGGGAGGGGGAGGCGGCAGCGCGGGGGGGGGGAGGAGGGGCGUCGGUGUGAGGCGGGGUGGCGUCGGGGAGGGAGCGGGGGGGAGGGGAGGGGACAAAGAAGCAGGGGCGACCGACGUGCCAGCAGCGGCUGUAAUAGGCGGAAGAGCACACGCCUGACC
RNAcentral lists this ribosomal RNA (509 nucleotides) under uncultured bacterium. RNAcentral describes it as "partial 16S ribosomal RNA". The stretch from base 20 to 329 matches the Rfam family "Bacterial small subunit ribosomal RNA", at positions 47 to 358 of the family's 1533-position model. The record is from RNAcentral.